AUUGAACGCUGGCGGCAUGCUUUACACAUGCAAGUCGAACGGUAACAGGCCGCAAGGUGCUGACGAGUGGCGCACGGGUGAGUAAUGCAUCUGAACGUGCCCAGUCGUGGGGGAUAACUACUCGAAAGAGUAGCUAAUACCGCAUACGAUCUAUGGAUGAAAGCGUGGGACCGUAAGGCCUCGCGCGCUUUGAGCUGCCGAUGUCAGAUUAGGUAGUUGGUGGGGUAAAGGCUCACCAAGCCAACGAUCUGUAGCUGGCCUGAGAGGACGACCAGCCACACUGGGACUGAGACACGGCCCAGACUCCUACGGGAGGCAGCAGUGGGGAAUUUUGGACAAUGGGCGCAAGCCUGAUCCAGCAAUGCCGCGUGCAGGAAGAAGGCCUUCGGGUUGUAAACUGCUUUUGUACGGAACGAAACGGCUCUGGUUAAUACCCGGGGCUAAUGACGGUACCGUAAGAAUAAGCACCGGCUAACUACGUG
This 482-nucleotide ribosomal RNA is filed under the name uncultured bacterium. RNAcentral's name for it is "partial 16S ribosomal RNA". It matches the Rfam family "Bacterial small subunit ribosomal RNA", at positions 30 to 507 of the family's 1533-position model. The record is from RNAcentral.